GAGACAGGCGGCGGAACCACUGAGCUAAAUCCCUAGCCUCACAUUUGACAAAAGUUUUAAAAAGCCUCAUCAUGGAGCAGGUGUUCUACCAUUCCAAUAACAAAGCUUUCGUUUAAGAGAUCAGAUCAACUUCAACCAACACAUAAAGAUUCCACACAGACAUUAAAAAACAGAGCACAGACUUGGCUGUUUAAAUUUGCUACAUUGCUACAUUUAGUGUAUAGUGCCAGGAACAAAGUAUCAAUCGGCCAAAUUUAAACAUGAUUUUGACUCUACUUUUAAAGUUUUCUGAAAGACUCUUACAUUCCAUUUCUUUUAACAAGAACACAGGACAAUGAUUUCUUAUAAAUACCAAAUUUACUGCAAUCAAAGAACAAGAACACAAGGAUAUAUACAUAAGCUACACUGGUGUUUAUUCCUCAGGGUCAAAGUAACUGUAAUCCUUAAGAAAGCCAAAACAGAACAACACACAAAACUCAAGUUCCUUUCACUUUUGGCUAACAGAUUCUUUUAACCUGAGGUGCCAGGACCAGCUUCAAUAUGACUACAGCUGCAUACGAAAUUAUGUGUCUAUUUCACUAAGGGGGCCCUGUAGGAAGGGUUAGGAACCACAGACGGGAACAUUUCCAGAACCACUAAAACUCAGCAGGGAGCAUUUUCAACAAAUUACACUAAAGGUAGUACCUAUGUGAACACAUGUGCAAGCUGGCUGCCAGCUCAUACACUCCCGGGGCAGCCACCGCACGUCCCAGCUGCAGCAGCUCCCACUUCAUUCCUAGGCAUGCACAUGUUGUCAACAAAGCAUGUGCCAGUUGCCAUUCCCGGAACAAUACCGGCCUGGCCAUCCUUUGGAAAGAAAUCCAUAAACCUUCCUCCCCAAACAUCCCCCCAUUUCUGCACGAUGCCUUGACCAUAGAUGUUAAACAUUACAACAAAAAGGUUGAGAUUCCCGCUCACGCUUCGUAUCUAGUUACUAAACUGGAUGGAAAGCAUCACUCAGGUGUGUUUGAGAGUCCGUUGGAGAUGCACGUAUGGGAGACACCAUGACAAGGACGCCCGGACAACCUGGGGCCAUCACAGACGGACUCACACAGGAACAGCCUGCAACACGGUUUCGGAAAGCACCCUCCUCCAAAGGCAGAGGCACAUUCCUUUGAUUGGCACAAGCUAUUUCUGACAAUGGAUCUGUGAUGACAGGGGCUCUCGGCAAUCAGGAAGUGUGUGUGUGUGUGUGUGUGUGUGCGUGUUGUGGGGGAGGGAUGUGUUAGAUGUGAUCAAAGACUGGCCUGCUGAAAAGAAGAGAAUAUGGGAUCUUAAAGCCUGGAGGCAGACUUGGAGGAGGAAGAGAAGGACCAAGGCAAUGAGAGACAGAUGAGCCAUGCUCCAGGAUACAGGCUUCCUUUGUUCUCCCAGCAUCCACUUUGCAGCCCAGGCUGACCUUGGACUCUCAGUGAUCCUCCUGCCUCAGCCUCCCAAGUGCUGACUGAGAAGACAGGUGUGCAGUACUGCAAUCAACUCUCAGCCAACCUUAAGAAGCGCUGGGGAGCUGCUACUGUUCUAGCUGCCUUGGGCAGAUUACCUCACAGUGCUGCGAGGGCACCUGUGUUGUCUUCUUGUCACAGAUGAACCUGGAGCCCAGGCACAUUAGGUGUUAGUCCGAGGUCAUGCAGCUGGAAGGUGAGGGGUCAGGCUUCCUGGACCCAGAGCCGUCCUCUCCACCUCCAGGUCAGGGCCAGCGAAGGGUCCAGUCCCCUCGCUCCUGUUCUCUCUUCCAGGACGAGAACUGCAGGGAUACCUUUCCCACCCUGCCCCAGGGCCCAGGGUGGCUCCCUCUCCACACCCACCCCAUCCCAGCCCAAGGCUCCUAGGGGAUCUGAAUCCCAGUCUUGGUGGCCCAGGAUCACUUCUGUGUGCCUUAGCCACACCCGAGAGGGUCCCCGCCCAGUGCCGGCCCAGCCUGGCCCACAGACACCCAGUGGCUGCCCCUUCAGCUCUACCUGGUCGGCUUCGGGCCAUUAGAAACCUCGCCUUCUCUCUCUCUUCUCUGGGGCUUUUUCUCUAUUCUGCUGCACCUCCCCACGCUUCCUUCCUGUGCUUAUUUCUCUUUACAACAAAGCUGGUUAUUUUUAACCUGAGGUUUUCACUCUCCUCUUGUCCUAUGGGGACUGAGUUGGGGAGGGAUGUUGGCACCCUGGGAGGGCUGCAGUUUGUGUCCCUCACCGCUGAGCCCAGCCUCUGGCCUGGUCUGUAUGUUUGAGACAAGCUCUCACUAUGUAGUUCAGCCUGGCCUCAAACACAAGGCGAUUCUCCUGCUUCAGCCUCCCUGGUGCUCUGUCCUGGUCUUUUGAGAUGUACCCCAGAGAGCUCUGCACUCCCUCCAGACCCUCCUUGCACAUCUGUGAAGGUCUCUGUCUUAACCUCCUCCCACCUCAGCCCCAGCAAGCCCAGCUCCAUCCUCCCCUCUGCGGGGCUCCAGCCCCUACCUGGUCCCUGGUUCUUUGCACAUCAGGUGUUUGAGAGAGAAACUUUUAUUUGAAGCCCAAACAAUUGCAAAGGGGAGACAAUGGGGCAUUUAGGUUUUCAUAGUUAGUGUUUGUUUUUAGUUUGGUUUCUGCACCCAGCUUUCUUUGGAAAGAAAAACAGUAGCAACUGAACAGGUUCAUAGCAGGGAUUUAAAAAAACAACUACCAGUGACUCACUGGGGCUGCCAGGCCCACAAGUAAAGUUCUCUAAAGUAACUGGUACUGGGAACCUUCCCCCUGGGGCAGCUCAGUAUCCUAAUGUGCGGAGCUCUGAGUCAAGCCAAAAAGGAUUAGAUAUGUUCGGUGCUGUUUUGUGUGUUUGCCUGUAUUUUUAAAAUUCUAAUUCCUUUAAGUCAGGCACCUUCUGUCUAAUGCCAGGAGUGACUCUUGGAUUUUCUGGGUGGUCUGCACUGAAUUUCUCCCGCUGUCCUCUCCAGCCCCACCCGCCCGGCCUCUGUGUCAUGCUCCUGUAACUGUCCCCACCGGCCUGGGGAGCAGUGCCUGCCAGCCCCAUCCGGACUCAGGGCUGCAACCUUGUCCCGCAUCCCUCAUCCCUCCUGGAGGUGGCUGUUCAGUCUCUUGUUUUGGAAAAAAAGAGAAAUUAGAACAGAAAGAAAUAAAC
Long non-coding RNA from Heterocephalus glaber (naked mole-rat), 3144 nucleotides. RefSeq lists it as uncharacterized. NCBI's taxonomy places the organism in Eukaryota, Metazoa, Chordata, Mammalia, Rodentia, Bathyergidae. The record is from RefSeq and is a predicted model, not a curated record.